UACUGAGGAAACUGUAUUUCCUGUCAGAGAUGCUCAGUGAUCCUCAGAGCAGAGAGAGGUAUUGCUGUCUUCUGAGUUCUUCAGUGUCCCAACUGAGACAUUCAAACCUCAUUGCAGAGCUCAUGUCUUUCCUCACCAUCAUGUGAGUGUGAGAUUGCUCUGGAUUCUGGUUAUGUGGCCUGCAGCACCUAUAAGAACAAGCUCGUCCAGUGUGCCUGCAUUCCAGCUUCUUAGACUCUACUCAAGUGGACAGAGUAUCAGUGUUUGGCCACUCUUACAGACACCGACUUCUGUCAACUCACUGCUACUGAUCAGGCACCUGACUCCAGGAAGACAGAGGGCUGCAAGCCUGUCAUCGUUUCCAGUGUGGCUUUGUAUUCUUGGGGUAGCAUCAGAUUUUUCCCACAAAUAUUCAAAGGUAACACUUAUUUUAAGCGUAGUUAUUAAGUCAAAAGUCUUCCCUUGUGUUAAUUUUAUUUUUUUUAUUUGUUUUUGUUUUCUUUUAGAUUUAUGUGCAGUGAUCGGAUGUGGUGGAGCUUUGUUAACUGUGUGGAAAACAUCUGUUUGUGAUGAUAUUUACAAUGAGGCUUUAAGGUGACAGUUUCCAUGUAAUUUCAAUCCUUUUACUAAGCAAAAACAUGUUUGCAAUUAACAUAU
This is a long non-coding RNA of Maylandia zebra (zebra mbuna), 657 nucleotides long. RefSeq lists it as uncharacterized. Lineage: Eukaryota; Metazoa; Chordata; Actinopteri; Cichliformes; Cichlidae. The record is from RefSeq and is a predicted model, not a curated record.